Molecule: long non-coding RNA, 1261 nt
Filed under: Pogona vitticeps (central bearded dragon)
Lineage: Eukaryota; Metazoa; Chordata; Lepidosauria; Squamata; Agamidae
Description: lncRNA (ENSPVIG00000013636.1)
Source: RNAcentral
CUGGUUUUCAAUCCACAGUUCUUCUGGUUCAUCGUCAACUUGACUUCGGACAUACAGUACUUUGAACAUACUAUGUGAAGACAAGAUUCACUGGAAAAAACUGUAAUGCUAGAAAAAGUUAAAGACAGUAGGAAGAGAGAAAGCCAACAGGAUUGCAUCGGGAAAUACUAAUAAAGAAGAUCCACCCACUCCCAGUAGGAAGAGCCAACCCCUCCUAGAUAUGUAACAGUGAUGAAGAAGAAACACCAACAUGGACACUAGCUGCAUAGGAUGAUGAUCUCAACUUCCACACCAAUUCUGCAUGUCAGCGUGUGUUUUUAUAGGCAUGUUGAAGCAUCUGCCUCCAAACAAGACCUCUUUGGGACCAACCUACUGGCAAACAAGAUUUGCUUCUCUUCAUCAUGGUUUAUCCCAGCAUUAUACAGUAAGUAUUUUUAAAGAAAAACAUAUUUGAUUAUUAUUAUUAUUUAUUUAUUUAUUAUAUUUCUGUGAACCUCAGGAUUCUUCCAUGCAUCCCCAAUUGUAGGGUAGUAGUUUGAAAAAGAGUAUAGGGCUCCUUGCAUAAUUAGCUACACUUGUCAAAACCCUUACCUCCCACAUAUGUGUCCACGUUGGCUGCAACAGUCACAGUGGCACUUAUCCACUGAGAGUCUCUGUAGAUGAGACACUGACUCCAUAUCUAGAAGCAGUGCACGCUUAAAAGGAAAAUAUGGUAUGUUUAUUGUAGCACAAGCUUGUUGCAAUCUGUACUGAACAACUUGGUUUCCUUUUUUUUGUGAUUGGUCAGCUGGGAGGCAGCAAGUUUUGCCAGGCUGAAAGUGACAAAAUAUUUGCAUGGCUGGAAAUAUAACAUUGCAGAUAGAGGAAAUACUAACAUGUCUUAUUCAGUGAUUUGAUCCUCUACUUGCUAAUAGAAGAAAUGAUCACUUGCCUGCAGAAGAGGUUGUUGUUAAAGGCACAGAAGCCAGAACUGGUCAAAAUCUGGCAACCUUAGCUAUGCUGGAUUCUGAAAGUACAAAAUGAAUCUCAGUCCUACCUUGAUAUAUCAUAUCUAUUUUCUUUGACUUUGCAAAAGUAUCCUCUUUGACAGGUAUUCUUUCACUUGAAGGAGCUUCAGAGGAAACCUCUCCAAGACCUGUAGGGGAAAGUUACCUUCCUAGAUUGUGUCUGCCAGAAUUCCCCAGCUAUCAAUGGCAGAAUGGCUGAGGAUUCUGGGUAUCAUUGUCUGCAAAAGUCACUUUCCCCACCUUGCGUCUUCUGU